CAAACAAUGNUAGACAAAAAAGAGCUAAAUUUUGUUUAUCAUGUUGUCCAAUCAUAUCUAGUGCUGCAUAACAAACAUGCAUUAAAUGUAUCACGUAAUUUCUGGUUUUGGUUUCUGCAAGUUGAACCAAGAAAUGCAUUACGUAAAUCAGAAUGCAACCUUGAGGUUUCACCAGCAGAGAAGCUAGAGGGUAAUUUAUAAAUUUCUUCCUCGUGGAUUUUGUGAAUCUGAAGAAAAAAUUUGACUCACCCCAUCUGUGGUGAAUUGUAUAUGUUCCAGACUCUAUUAGUUCCCCCAGCUGUACUUUUGAGUAUUGCUCAUUCAUAUCAACUAUACUCUUUCAGAGCAUAGUUAACCUGUAUUGUGUUAGUACUGGUUAAGUCUACUGUGGUAUUUGUAGAUCUUCGCCUUCUGGCUUUUUGACUUGAUUUUACAAUCUCAGAAGGUAUUUUUAUUGAAUUAUUUUCAUGUUUCUUCAAUCUCGCCUGCUCCUGAGAACUGCUAAUUACAAACUGUUAGAAGCAUGAUGCUUCAUGUAUUACCAUUAGAAUUCACUUGUCUCGGGCUAGAUGUAUGGCUACGACUCUCCCUUCCACCAGUGGAUAGUGGAAGUUAGUUAUUAUACCCAUCAAGGCAAAUAACGUACUCUGGCAAAACUGAACGAAAAAAGAAAUAUGAAUAUUUCACAUUUGAUUUACUGGAGUUCGUUUGUAUUGUGCAGGGGCUUCCGGUUAGCCUCCCUUGAAGAAGAGGCAGUGGUUUCAGGUCAUCCGUUCCAAAAUGUCGCUAGUAUGAGUAUUGGGGCCUCGAGACUAACACUUCUCGACUUCAGCAAGAAAAUAUCGUGUAAACUUUAAGAGUGGUGGGUUAAUCUUAUUCAGUGUUGCUUUCUUUUUAUGUUUAGUUGAGCAAUGUACGUCUUUUAAAUAAUACAAAUACCAGGUAGAUGAUAUAAAUACUUGUGUUAAUUUGGUUUCACGUGAAUAUUAUUCACGAUGUGUUAGCAUUUUUUACUUUUUAUUAUAAUUGAUGUCAUCAUUGCAUGACCUACUUAAUUCAAUUUGAAUUAACAAAAAUUCUUUACUUGUAAGGUAACA
Molecule: long non-coding RNA, 1097 nt
Filed under: Olea europaea subsp. europaea
Lineage: Eukaryota; Viridiplantae; Streptophyta; Magnoliopsida; Lamiales; Oleaceae
Source: RNAcentral